RNAcentral lists this transfer RNA (73 nucleotides) under Camelus bactrianus (Bactrian camel). It matches the Rfam family "tRNA". Rfam says of the family: Transfer RNA (tRNA) molecules are approximately 80 nucleotides in length. Their secondary structure includes four short double-helical elements and three loops (D, anti-codon, and T loops). The record is from Rfam by way of RNAcentral. Lineage: Eukaryota; Metazoa; Chordata; Mammalia; Artiodactyla; Camelidae. RNAcentral also lists the same sequence under 3 other names.
GAGGGUAUAGCUCAAGCGGUAGAGUGCAUGCUCAGCAUGCAUGAGGUUCUGGGUUCAAUCCUCAGUACCUCCU